CCCUUAGAUGUUCUGGGCCGCACACGCGCUACACUGAAGGAGGCAGCGUGUACUCCUGGAUCGAAAGAUUUGGGUAACCCGCGAAUCUCCUUCGUGCUAGGGAUUGAGGUUUGCAAUUAUCCUUCAUGAACGAGGAAUUCCCAGUAAGUGCAAGUCAUAAGCUUGCGCUGACUACGUCCCUGCCCUUUGUACACACCGCCCGUCGCUACUACCGAUUAAAUGAUUUAGUGAGGACUUCGGACUGGGACCGAUGCGGCUUUCGGGCUGCGUCGGUAUUCUGGAAAGAUGUCCAAACUGUAUCAUUUAGAGGAAGUAAAAGUCGUAACA
This 327-nucleotide ribosomal RNA is filed under the name uncultured eukaryote. RNAcentral's name for it is "partial 18S ribosomal RNA". It matches the Rfam family "Eukaryotic small subunit ribosomal RNA", at positions 1470 to 1796 of the family's 1831-position model. The record is from RNAcentral.